GACGAACGCUGUCGGCGUGCUUAACACAUGCAAGUCGAACGGAAAGGCCCUGCUUUUGUGGGGUGCUCGAGUGGCGAACGGGUGAGUAACACGUGAGUAACCUGCCCUUGACUUUGGGAUAACUUCAGGAAACUGGGGCUAAUACCGGAUAGGAGCUCCUGCUGCAUGGUGGGGGUUGGAAAGUUUCGGCGGUUGGGGAUGGACUCGCGGCUUAUCAGCUUGUUGGUGGGGUAGUGGCUUACCGAGGCUUUGACGGGUAGCCGGCCUGAGAGGGUGACCGGCCACAUUGGGACUGAGAUACGGCCCAGACUCCUACGGGAGGCAGCAGUGGGGAAUAUUGCACAAUGGGCGGAAGCCUGAUGCAGCAACGCCGCGUGCGGGAUGACGGCCUUCGGGUUGUAAACCGCUUUCGCCUGUGACGAAGCGUGAGUGACGGUAAUGGGUAAAGAAGCACCGGCUAACUACGUGCCAGCAGCCGCGGUGAUACGUAGGGUGCGAGCGUUGUCCGGAUUUAUUGGGCGUAAAGGGCUCGUAGGUGGUUGAUCGCGUCGGAAGUGUAAUCUUGGGGCUUAACCCUGAGCGUGCCUUCGAUACGGGUUGACUUGAGGAAGGUAGGGGAGAAUGGAAUUCCUGGUGGAGCGGUGGAAUGCGCAGAUAUCAGGAGGAACACCAGGGGCGAAGGGGGUUCUCUGGGCCUUUCCUGACGCUGAGGAGCGAAAGCGUGGGGAGCGAACAGGCUUAGAUACCCUGGUAGUCCACGCUGUAAACGGUGGGUACUAGGUGUGGGGUCCAUUCUACGGGUUCCGUGCCGUAGCUAACGCUUUAAGUACCCCGCCUGGGGAGUACGGCCGCAAGGCUAAAACUCAAAGGAAUUGACGGGGCCCCGCACAAGCGGCGGAGCAUGCGGAUUAAUUCGAUGCAACGCGUAGAACCUUACCUGGGUUUGACAUGGAUCGGGAGUGCUCAGAGAUGGGUGUGCCUCUUUUGGGGUCGGUUCACAGGUGGUGCAUGCCUGUCGUCAGCUCGUGUCGUGAGAUGUUGGGUUAAGUCCCGCAACGAGCGCAACCCUUGUUCACUGUUGCCAGCACGUUAUGGUGGGGACUCAGUGGAGACCGCCGGGGACAACUCGGAGGAAGGUGGGGAUGACGUCAAGUCAUCAUGCCCCUUAUGUCCAGGGCUUCACGCAUGCUACAAUGGCUGGUACAGAGAGUGGCGAGCCUGUGAGGGUGAGCGAAUCUCGGAAAGCCGGUCUCAGUUCGGAUUGGGGUCUGCAACUCGACCUCAUGAAGUCGGAGUCGCUAGUAAUCGCAGAUCAGCAACGCUGCGGUGAAUACGUUCCCGGGGCU
RNAcentral lists this ribosomal RNA (1346 nucleotides) under uncultured bacterium. RNAcentral's name for it is "partial 16S ribosomal RNA". It matches the Rfam family "Bacterial small subunit ribosomal RNA", at positions 28 to 1381 of the family's 1533-position model. The record is from RNAcentral.